GAAUGAACUGUCCUGCACGCGCCAGCUUCCUGUGAAUUUCACCUAGCACCUGUCGACAUUUUGGCCUCAAGAUGAAUCCCAGAGAACUUCAGCUAACUUCCACAUGCACGUCUAGAGAGUCCACAGUAAGGUCGUAUGGGUCCAUGUGAAGGUUGUUGAAGACUUCUUUGAGUGUGAUCUUCUGACCACCUUUCUCCAAGACCACACGAUCAGCCUCUGUCUGAUUGAGCUCUCCAUCAGAAAAGGCCGCUGGGCCCCAGUUGGUGAUCAGCUGCGGUCCCUUUGAACCUGGUAGGAAAAUAAAAAAGGAGUCUUUUCACCAUAGAGGUUGCCAAAUAAUUAUUGGUUUCCCCUGCCAUCCAUUCCAGCCAGAAAUGCUGUCUUGACACAUGAAAAAGAAAAUCCACAAAGAGAUUAAUAAAAAAGUCAAAAGGCACCACCAUGACCCAUCUCCACUGACCUGGUACUGCUCCAGUGCUCCCUGCCUCUCCUGCUCCAGCUGUUCCAGUUGUUUCAUGGCAGCUUGCAGAGCGCUCUCCUUGGCUAGACGUUCCUUCUCCA
Cheilinus undulatus (humphead wrasse) is the source of this 561-nucleotide long non-coding RNA. RefSeq lists it as uncharacterized. Lineage: Eukaryota; Metazoa; Chordata; Actinopteri; Labriformes; Labridae. The transcript has 5 exons. The record is from RefSeq and is a predicted model, not a curated record.